This 215-nucleotide unclassified non-coding RNA is filed under the name Hevea brasiliensis (rubber tree). The record is from RNAcentral. Lineage: Eukaryota; Viridiplantae; Streptophyta; Magnoliopsida; Malpighiales; Euphorbiaceae.
CGGUUCUUCUUGAAUCGGGUUGUCAUUUUGACCUCUUUGGUUAAAGACGGUGUUUGAGCGGCUACGAGAAAUGGAGGAUCUGCUAAAACAAAGGCAUUAGGGUUUUUAAAGAUUUAUAGGGAAGCACUUGGCAGGAAGAAUCUCUCUCGGUUGCAGCAAAACCUAGCUAAAAGCUCUGUCUCUUUGGAGUUGGGCCGGACCUGGAUUUUGUUCUG